UACGUAGGGGGCAAGCGUUGUUCGGAAUUACUGGGCGUAAAGGGCGCGUAGGCGGCACGGCAAGUCGGGAGUGAAAGCCCGGGGCUCAACCCCGGAGGGUCUUCCGAAACUGCCGGGCUAGAGUGCGGAAGAGGCAACCGGAAUUCCCAGUGUAGCGGUGAAAUGCGUAGAUAUUGGGAAGAACACCGGAGGCGAAGGCGGGUUGCUGGGCCGACACUGACGCUGAGGCGCGAAAGCCAGGGGAGCAAACGGGAUUAGAAACCCCCGUAGUCC
Molecule: ribosomal RNA, 273 nt
Filed under: uncultured bacterium
Lineage: Bacteria
Description: partial 16S ribosomal RNA
Rfam family: Bacterial small subunit ribosomal RNA
Source: RNAcentral